GAUUUCUGGCGAACCAUUGCGGCCCGUACUCUUUGCGGGCGUGAGUGCCGUGCCGUGUUUGUCAUCCCUCUAGAGAGCGUCUACCAUUCACUUGGCCAGACGGUGCUUAAAGCAGGCUCUCGCUCUGAAUACAUGCGUGGAAUAAUAAUUUGGGACUUCGGUUCUAUUUUGCUGGUUUCUAGGACGAAGUAAUGAUUGAUAGGGACAGUCGGGAGUGCUAGUAUUCCGCGGCCAGAGGUGAAAUUCUUGGAUUCGCGGAAGCCUAACUACUGCAUU
Molecule: ribosomal RNA, 276 nt
Filed under: uncultured Metabolomonas
Lineage: Eukaryota; Cercozoa; Cercomonadida
Description: partial 18S ribosomal RNA
Rfam family: Eukaryotic small subunit ribosomal RNA (bases 103-276)
Source: RNAcentral